GUGCCAGCAGCCGCGGUAAUACGUAGGUGGCAAGCGUUAUCCGGGAAUUAUUGGGCGUAAAGCGCGCGCAGGUGGUUUCUUAAGUCUGAUGUGAAAGCCCACGGCUCAACCGUGGAGGGUCAUUGGAAACUGGGAGACUUGAGUGCAGAAGAGGAAAGUGGAAUUCCAUGUGUAGCGGUGAAAUGCGUAGAGAUAUGGAGGAACACCAGUGGCGAAGGCGACUUUCUGGUCUGUAACUGACACUGAGGCGCGAAAGCGUGGGGAGCAAACAGGAUUAGAUACCCUGGUAGUCC
RNAcentral lists this ribosomal RNA (293 nucleotides) under uncultured microorganism. RNAcentral's name for it is "partial 16S ribosomal RNA". It matches the Rfam family "Bacterial small subunit ribosomal RNA", at positions 505 to 796 of the family's 1533-position model. The record is from RNAcentral.